Molecule: long non-coding RNA, 412 nt
Filed under: Manacus vitellinus (golden-collared manakin)
Lineage: Eukaryota; Metazoa; Chordata; Aves; Passeriformes; Pipridae
Description: lncRNA (ENSMVIG00005018537.1)
Source: RNAcentral
CAACACACCCAGCACGUGGUUACACUCCACAUGCUCCAGGGGACCAAGCAUGGACACAGCUGGGAAAUGCCACCUGGACUGAGCCCCCCCAAAGAAUAUGCAAGAGCUCCGUAAGCUAAACAAAAAUUCCACAACACAUUGCAUAUUUCACUAGAAACAGUUUUGCUGUUGCUGGUUUUGCCUUCACCUCCACUGCAAUUUAGUGAUCCAUAAAGAUGUUGAGGCCACACUUCAGGAGAGGACACUCAUGUCCUUUAAAUGCACCCGGCUGAGUGGCCCUAAUGAAGUCAGUGGGAGCACCAGUCUAUGCCAAAUGAGAUGGCACGGUGAGAAGCAGGAACAGAGAGCAGACUGGACAACAGGCCAAAUAAAGUUGUUCUUCUGGCUUGGGUGGUGCUGGCACCAAGCCCAG